GAUGAACGCUGGCGGCGUGCCUAAUACAUGCAAGUAGAACGCUGAAGCUUGGUGCUUGCACCGAGCGGAUGAGUUGCGAACGGGUGAGUAACGCGUAGGUAACCUGCCUCUUAGCGGGGGAUAACUAUUGGAAACGAUAGCUAAUACCGCAUAAAAGUCGACAUCGCAUGAUGUUGACUUGAAAGGUGCAAUUGCAUCACUAAGAGAUGGACCUGCGUUGUAUUAGCUAGUUGGUGAGGUAACGGCUCACCAAGGCGACGAUACAUAGCCGACCUGAGAGGGUGAUCGGCCACACUGGGACUGAGACACGGCCCAGACUCCUACGGGAGGCAGCAGUAGGGAAUCUUCGGCAAUGGGGGCAACCCUGACCGAGCAACGCCGCGUGAGUGAAGAAGGUUUUCGGAUCGUAAAGAUCUGUUGUAAGAGAAGAACGAGUGUGAGAGUGGAAAGUUCACACUGUGACGGUAACUUACCAGAAAGGGACGGCUAACUACGUG
Molecule: ribosomal RNA, 497 nt
Filed under: uncultured bacterium
Lineage: Bacteria
Description: partial 16S ribosomal RNA
Rfam family: Bacterial small subunit ribosomal RNA
Source: RNAcentral